GGUCUUGACAUCCCGGACGACCCUUAGGAAACUAGGGGGUGCUUCCAUCUGGAAGAAUCUGGAGGACAGGUGCUGCAUGGCUGUCGUCAGCUCGUGUCGUGAGAUGUUGGGUUAAGUCCCGCAACGAGCGCAACCCUUGCCUUUAGUUGCCAGCAGUUCGGCUGGGCACUCUAAAGGGACUGCCGGUGUUAAACCGGAGGAAGGUGGGGAUGACGUCAAGUCCUCAUGGCCUUUAUGACCAGGGCUACACACGUACUACAAUGGCCGAUACAAAGGGCAGCGACACUGCGAGGUGAAGCCAAUCCCGUAAAAUCGGUCUCAGUCCGGAUUGGAGUCUGCAACUCGACUCCAUGAAGUUGGAAUCGCUAGUAAUCGUGGAUCAGCAUGCCACGGUGAAUACGUUCCCGGGCCUU
RNAcentral lists this ribosomal RNA (413 nucleotides) under uncultured Desulfobulbus sp. RNAcentral describes it as "bacterial SSU rRNA". It matches the Rfam family "Bacterial small subunit ribosomal RNA", at positions 977 to 1382 of the family's 1533-position model. Lineage: Bacteria; Pseudomonadati; Thermodesulfobacteriota; Desulfobulbia; Desulfobulbales; Desulfobulbaceae. The record is from RNAcentral.